Molecule: non-coding RNA, 85 nt
Organism: Podarcis lilfordi (Lilford's wall lizard)
Lineage: Eukaryota; Metazoa; Chordata; Lepidosauria; Squamata; Lacertidae
Source: the annotation of a GenBank genome assembly
CCUGGGAUAGCUCAGUUGGUAAAGCAGGAGACUCUUAAUCUCAGGGCUGUGGGUUCGUUGGGCAAAAGAGUCUUGCACUGCAGGG